This 800-nucleotide ribosomal RNA is filed under the name uncultured bacterium. RNAcentral describes it as "bacterial SSU rRNA". It matches the Rfam family "Bacterial small subunit ribosomal RNA", at positions 8 to 805 of the family's 1533-position model. The record is from RNAcentral.
AGAGUUUGAUCCUGGCUCAGGAUGAACGCUGGCGGCGUUCUUAACACAUGCAAGUCGAACGAAGCACUUUAUUGGAUUUCCUUCGGGGAAGAAGAUGUUGUGACUGAGUGGCGGACGGGUGAGUAACGCGUGGGUAACCUGCCCCAUACAGGGGGAUAACAGCCGGAAACGGCUGCUAAAACCGCAUAAGCGCACAGUACCGCAUGGUACGGUGUGAAAAACUCCGGUGGUAUGGGAUGGACCCGCGUCUGAUUAGCUCGUUGGCAGGGUAACGGCCUACCAAGGCGACGAUCAGUAGCCGACCUGAGAGGGUGACCGGCCACAUUGGGACUGAGACACGGCCCAAACUCCUACGGGAGGCAGCAGUGGGGAAUAUUGCACAAUGGGGGAAACCCUGAUGCAGCGACGCCGCGUGAGCGAAGAAGUAUUUCGGUAUGUAAAGCUCUAUCAGCAGGGAAGAAGAAUGACGGUACCUGACUAAGAAGCACCGGCUAAAUACGUGCCAGCAGCCGCGGUAAUACGUAUGGUGCAAGCGUUAUCCGGAUUUACUGGGUGUAAAGGGAGCGCAGGCGGAAGGCUAAGUCUGAUGUGAAAGCCCAGGGCUCAACCCUGGUACUGCAUUGGAAACUGGUCAUCUAGAGUGUCGGAGGGGUAAGUGGAAUUCCUAGUGUAGCGGUGAAAUGCGUAGAUAUUAGGAGGAACACCAGUGGCGAAGGCGGCUUACUGGACGAUGACUGACGCUGAGGCUCGAAAGCGUGGGGAGCAAACAGGAUUAGAUACCCUGGUAGUCCACGCCGUAA